This is a long non-coding RNA of Bos taurus (domestic cattle), 1603 nucleotides long. The record is from Ensembl. Lineage: Eukaryota; Metazoa; Chordata; Mammalia; Artiodactyla; Bovidae.
GGUGAGCAGGAAGUGUUAAGUACAUCAAGGCUUUGGUGAGACGCAGGCACUCCAGAGCGUCAGGGGCUUGUCCCCUUGGUGAGAUCACCAGGCAGUGGCAUCUCAGACAUCCGCUUGGAGCUAAAUACAGGCUACUGCACUUUGCACCUCCUAUCAUGAUGAAAGGAAGAGAAAACUUGGGUUUUGGAGGCGGCACACUCCAUACCUGGGGACCCUGAAGAGACACAUACGCCAGGGCUAAAACGAUGGAUGGCUGGAGAGAGGAGCCAACAGAGGAGGUUGGACAGGUUCAACAGGAGGAACGAGAGGCAGCAGCAGAGUUUAAGAAAAGCCAUCUUUUACUGCACAAGCAAGGAUCCAAAAGAAGAAAUGGCACAGGGGGAGAUACGGCUAAUAAAGCAGAUUUGGACUUUCUUACUACUUGGGGGCAAGGACCCCCUGGUCUCUAACUCCCAUGGUAACAUGACAUAGUAGGAAGGACAGUAACAUAUGCAGCUCUUGAUUUUGAAGAUGACUGUAUGUGGUCGGGCUCCACCCUGCGUUACACAAAAGAAAUACAAAGACAAACGGAGCCUUCUGCUUGGACUUCCGGUGCGGACCUGACAGCCCCCACGUGUGAGGCGCCCGUCGGCCAGGACCCGCAGAGUCACCUGCAGCAGGGACUCUCCCCGCCGAGCCCCACCAGACAGAAGAGGGCUCUAGAGCUCCUCGCCAGCUCAUCACGGCACAGCCGCUGUUUGUUGCCAGGUCUCUUUCGGCAGUGGAUGGCCUCUCCUUCUCUGCGGGCUGCCUGAGUCUCUGCAUUCCAGGACACCGGUAUCAAGGCGGAUCCGUGUGUCCUGUCCUUGCCCUGCUGGAUUCCACUUUGAGUGAGGGUCUGAAGCCAUUUCCCCCUCGAGUUUCAUGAAAUGGUCUGCAUGUACCAACUAGGGUCUGCAGCCCUGCUUACUGCAACCAUUUAGAGGGCAAAUUAUCUGAAAAGUGGCGGAUGCGCCAUCAGCUUGAAGACCAAAAGGGAAAUGUCCAGUAGGCAAACUGAUCCCACGUGCAGAUCCGUUUCUAAAACGUCACCCACCAUUCCCGUGUCAGUCCUGGAGGGCCCGGAGCUUUCAGCUGAUUAGUCUUGGAGCAAGCUCACAGGCAACCAUCAUUUUGCUUCAUUUAACAGCUUUACAGCUACACUGCCAUUUCCGUGCCCUCAUCAGCUGACUGGCCUUAAGGCUGACUGAUAAACACGCGAAUGAUGGCAGAAGUCACCCGAGGGAUGAGCACAGCACCCUAUUGUAACUUCAGCAUCUCCCUGGCUGGACUGGCAAAGACCCCAGAGUAGCACAGGCCUCCGGAUGCUGCAGUGCUGGGGGCACCUGGAGAGGGGCAGUUUUUAAUUGAACAUUUUUCGGGCAUCUGUUCAUUUUGCUCUCUCAGCACUCCUUCUUUCCUGUUAACAGCACCCUCUUCCUUUGGGGACUGGCUUCCCAAGUGGCACUGGAGGUAAAGAACCCACCUGCCAAUCCAGGAGACAUAAGAGACAUAGGUUUGAUUCCUGGGUUGGGAAGAUGCCCUGGAGGAGGGCAUGGCAACCCAGUCCAGGAUUCUUGCCUGG